Molecule: long non-coding RNA, 1161 nt
Organism: Cyprinus carpio (common carp)
Lineage: Eukaryota; Metazoa; Chordata; Actinopteri; Cypriniformes; Cyprinidae
Source: Ensembl
AAGCAUGGAUUGCAAAAUCGUUUGCAUGCCCCGAGGUGACCAACUUAAAACAGGUGACUCGUUUUGGAAGCAAAACAAACACAAGAAGGGGAUUUGGGUUGCAGGCAGCUGUGGAUCCUGCACGCUCAGCUGGUGACGCACAAAGAAACAGGUGACGGCGUCGGGAUGUUUGCCCUGCAAGGGUGCCACCACGUGCUUCUUUCCCCUGGAACAAGCUCUCUCGGUAAAAUCUGCACCUGGCCUGGUGGUCUUGGCAACAUCGGACAACCUCUAGCAGAUGUUCGCCUCUCUUUUGUCGAUGACUUCGCGGUGGCUGCUCCGCGAGACAAAACUGCGGAUCAUCUCAUGGGUUCCUCGGCUGCAGAGAUCGUACGUGAUGAAGCUUUACUCAGUCACCAGAUCCGGGAUGAAAGUUACCCUUUGGCUGUGUGACAGACAGGAAGAAAAGGACACUCACGCUAGUGUGAAGGCAUAUGAAAUGGUUUCGCAGCCAGCCAAACUUCCUGAAUCCUCUUCUAUGGAGAGAUGCCAAACCACAGAAGAGAGAAUAAGGGUAGCCAGGAAGAAGAGAAAGAAGGAGCUGAAAGAGAAAGAUAGAGACAGAAAGGGCAGGGAGGAGACAACUAGACCCCCCAUCUGAUGCUAGUUUGGGCCCUGAUCGGAUCCCAGCAGGGCUAAGUGUGAGGCGCUCAGCGGGACGUCCCCUCUUCAAACUCUCCACCUCUUCCCUUUCCUCUUUUUAGUCUCCAGACAUUGUAAAUGAGGUCAUCUCUCCUGGACUGGUCCAUCCAGGCUGAUGCCCAACGGUGCUCAAAGCCAACCUCUCACUACCUGGCCUUUCCUUUGCUUUGUUUUGUCUCUCUCAGAGGCUGUCCAUUAGUCACUUUAUUCUCUCUCUCUCUCUUCAUAAAUGAUUUCCUAUUUUAUCACAACUAGGUGUAGAAUCAAAUAUAGAAAACGAUCAGUAGAUUUUAACAGUCCACUUGCAUUUGAAUAACAAGAGACUGUAUUUAUAAAAAUUAGGCUUCUAUCAUAUAAAAUUACUAAAUGUAAUAAUAUUUAAAACGUUAAAUACAAAUCCAGUCUAAUCACAGAAAAUAACUGAACGCUGAAUGCACUUUUAAAAAUAAAGGUUCUUUACUGGCAAAGGUUCGAUGAGGA